Molecule: ribosomal RNA, 253 nt
Filed under: uncultured bacterium
Lineage: Bacteria
Description: partial 16S ribosomal RNA
Rfam family: Bacterial small subunit ribosomal RNA
Source: RNAcentral
UACGUAGGUGACAAGCGUUGUCCGGAUUUACUGGGCGUAAAGAGCGCGCAGGCGGUCGUUCAAGUCGAGUGUGAAAGCCCCCGGCUCAACUGGGGAGGGUCACUCGAUACUGAUCGACUCGAAGGCAGGAGAGGGAAGUGGAAUUCCCGGUGUAGUGGUGAAAUGCGCAGAUAUCGGGAGGAACACCAGUGGCGAAGGCGACUUCCUGGCCUGUUCUUGACGCUGAGGCGCGAAAGCUAGGGGAGCAAACGGG